RNAcentral lists this ribosomal RNA (372 nucleotides) under uncultured organism. RNAcentral's name for it is "bacterial SSU rRNA". It matches the Rfam family "Bacterial small subunit ribosomal RNA", at positions 526 to 896 of the family's 1533-position model. The record is from RNAcentral.
CGUAGGGGGCGAGCGUUGUCCGGAAUUAUUGGGCGUAAAGAGCGUGUAGGCGGUUCGGUAAGUCUGCCGUGAAAACCUGGGGCUCAACCCCAGGCGUGCGGUGGAUACUGCCGGGCUAGAGGGUGGUAGAGGCGAGUGGAAUUCCCGGUGUAGCGGUGAAAUGCGCAGAUAUCGGGAGGAACACCAGUAACGAAGGCGGCUCGCUGGGCCAUACCUGACGCUGAGACGCGAAAGCGUGGGGAGCAAACAGGAUUAGAUACCCUGGUAGUCCACGCCGUAAACGAUGAACACUAGGUGUGGGCGGAGUCGAAUCUGUCCGUGCCGCAGCCAACGCGUUAAGUGUUCCGCCUGGGGAGUACGGCCGCAAGGCUA